Molecule: long non-coding RNA, 501 nt
Filed under: Brassica napus (rape)
Lineage: Eukaryota; Viridiplantae; Streptophyta; Magnoliopsida; Brassicales; Brassicaceae
Description: long non-coding RNA (BNAP_LNC003186)
Source: RNAcentral
GGGUGUGGGGUUUAGUGUUGAUAGUUUAGGGUUUGGUGUUAGAUGGUUUAGGGUUUAGAGUUGGAAGUUUAGGGUUUAGGGUUUAGAGUUGAUGUUUUAGGUUUAUAGUUGAAGGUUUAGAGUGUAGGAUUUAUAGUUGAUGUUUCAGGGUUUAGGGUUUAGAGAUGAUGUUUCAGGGUUUAAGGGUUCGUAUUUCAAAAAAAAAAAUAGGAUUUAGGAUUGAUGGUUUAGGGUUUGUAUUUCAAAAAAUAAUAUAGGGUUUAGGAUUGAUGGAUUAGGGUUUAAAGUUGUGUUUUAGAGUUUAGGGCUUGAAUUUCGAAAUAGUAUAAUUGAAAAAAAGAAAAAAAAUUUAGAUUUUUUAUGUAUUUAAAUAUUUAUUUUAUAUAUAUAUAAAGAAUAAGAGCAUAAGAGUCUUUUGCCACUUAAUGAAAAAUGUAUUUUUGAAAAUGUUCACUUAGUGGUGGUAAAUAUAAAAAGUGAUAGUAUGAAUGUGGUAAACAU